ACCAUCACAGAAUACUAUAAACACCUCUUUGCAAAUAAACUAGAAAAUCUAGAGGAAAUGGAUAAAUUCCUGCUCAACCCUACAUAAUAGUCAGGUAAUAGAUGUUAAGUGAUAACUUUAAAAGUCUUGAUUCUGAAGUCAAAAUGUCUACACCAAGAUUUAAUCUACACACUAGACUUUAUUCAAUGUCAGGUCUCCCCUCGCUCAUCUUGAGAGCUGCAGCCCUAAGGAAGGUGGUAGGUUCUUCUUUCUCCUACUGACGCUUCCCUCCCCACUGCCCCUGUGCCUGCCAAGUGUUUUCUGAUCAGGUCAGAGAAUGGCAUAGAAAGAGAAAAUGAAAGGCUUCAUAGACAAAUACUGAUCAGGGCUGACUUUGCACCCUGUGCCUGGCAUAUAAAUAAGGCUCACUCCUUCUCUUGUAGGUACUUCCUUUGUUCUCUGGUGUUUCUAUCACCAAAGACCAUUUGUGUUGUUGCCUUGAGCCUGAAUGGUGUACCCUAUUCCAAGUGGUAAAUCCUAGGAAUCUCAUGAUAAGCCUCAGCUCCUUACUGUUGAGUUUCUUCACUGUCUUAUGGGUGGCACCCAAAAUGGCCACAUGCCUGACCUUGCUCUCUCUCUAUUUCUGUGUAUCUCUUUAUCUCUUUAGGAAAUGAACCAUGCUCCAUGGGAAACAAACAAGCACCCCUUGACCCAACAAGUGUUGGGAUCACAAGCGGGAUCCAUCACGGCAGUCUACAACCUGUCACCAUCAUCAACUUUCUCAUCAUUAAGCACAACUCCUCCAUGUCUCUCAAAUGUAGGGGACAUGUUUCAAGCUCUCCAGCCACCCCAUGGAAGCCUCUCACUGGGCUCAUGAUGAAUGGGGUAACACCCAUCCCUACCCCUCACACCCUCUGGCAGGAGAUACUUAUGGCACUGCACUAGCUCUUCCCAAAGAAAACUUUUUUCAAAUACUCCCUUCUUCUCUGUUCUCCAUUUUUGCUUUAUUUGAAGCCAAUGAGAGGAGUUAAAAAUCAGCAACCACUUUACAAAAUAUCUCUUUGUAAAUUUUUCAAGUGGGGAUCUACCUGACAUUCACUUUGGCAUCUAAUUUCUCUUGUGUUCACACCCAGGUCAAAACUGUGGUAGGAAGAGACCUCUUUUAACAUCUGUAUCCUGCUGUUGAGAUUUUGAAGGACUCACUCCCCUCUAGUAUCUGGGCUACUUUCUAAUAUUAUCUCUCUUUACAAAUUAGAAAAUGAAGGCUCAGAGAGGUUAAGAAACUGUUCAACAUUCAUUAGAUUGAAGAGCUAUAAUUUGAUACCCAAGACUUCUGGAUUCUAAUCUAGGUGCUCUAAACCUCUUAGCUCUGAUGGCCCCUGGGCACCAAGUACUGCCUUUUGACUUGGAGAAAAGCUCAGUAGCAUAAACUUUCCCCACUAUUCUCAGGGCGAGCUGCGUCCCACAUGCCCAUCAGGCACUGACUGCCUGCUUUUCUCUUUGCUAGCAGGUAUCAACCAUAGUGUCCUAUGGCUGACUCAAUCCAAAAGUCUUCAAUACUUUGCUACUAAAAGGGUGGUCCAAAGGCCAGCAGGAGCACCUGAGAACUUCUUAGGAAUGUGUUAUGUCAGUGCCUCCCCACCAAUAUGCCCUAAGGGAAACUGCAUUUCAGUAAGGACAUGAAGAUUAAAGAAGCACCGUUCUACACCAUUGCUCCUAGGAGGCCUAAAGAAUCUUCUUGCACAUCUAUCCCCUGGUGUCUUCCCAGGUGUCCUUGAAAGGAGCUGCAGAUUAGUUAUUCCUUGGAAUCCUCGCCACGUCUAUUACUUUGUCAUUCAGAAUAUCAUAAUAUUAUAAUAUACCACUUUGUUAAUCUAACUUUUUGUUUAUACCCUUACAUAGCCUGUCAUCUUGAAGUAAUAUCCUCUGCUCUUUAUCCUGAAGACUACAAACCUAAUCUCUAAAUUAAAAAUAAAUUUCCAACUAGCUGAUUCGUAAUGUACCCCAGCAGAGUAGAGAACCAUUAAGAAAAAAGUCUGACCUAGCUAAGGCUAGAAAAUAAGUGGUUCACCCUUUAUCACUGCCUGCCCCCACCUUGCAUACUCACACCAGUGCAUGCCCACACACACUUCCUGAAACCACACACUCAUUUAUUAUAUGAGUCAAUAAGUAUUUGGUAAGCAGCUACUGAAUGCCAGACCCUGUGAUGGGAGUGAUAAAUUCAGUGAUGAAUCCCACAUAGAUUCUAUAGGAAGUUAAUAUCCUACUUGGGAGAAAAGACACAUAUGCAAAGGUUGAUCAUUUAAGGUAGAGUAUGAGACCUGCUGUAUACAUCCUCUUACAAUAGACUAUGCUUUGAUAACACAACCACAAGUUCUCAGUGACUUUCAACAAUUCUUCUGCAGUAAUAGUCCAUCAUGGGUGAGUUCCCCGUUGCCAUCAUUUCUGGACUCAGAGAGAAGAAACAGCCCUUUCUGAGACACUUCGUCCUCAAGGCAGCAGCACCGCAUGGAGCGGCACAGAAAGCUCUUGCACACAAGUGACCCACAUCACUUCUUCUCACAUUCCAUUUCACAGCCACAGGAGGUCACUGGCCAUGUCUGAUAUCAGUGGGGCACCAGAGAGGGGCUACCAGGAUUGGCACGUGGGGAGAGCAGCAAAUAUUUGGAAAUAUAAUGCAAUCCAUCACACCUCAUGACAGAGGUAUAGGUGAAGUGCUUUGGGGAUUUGGAAACGUGAAGAAUACCUCUAGCUGAAAAAAAGGAGACUUUCUGAAGGAGGUGAUGCCAACCUGGGCUUUGAAAUGUUGGCAGUGGCAGUGGGGAUGAGAAGUGUGGAAGAAGGAGGACUGGGAAAGCCUGCAGCCAUGGAAGCAAUGUCCUGGGAAAUAUUCUGCAUGGAGCAGAGGAAACUCACAGAAAUAAAGUUGAAAUAUAAUUAUAGAGGGCCUGAAGUUCUACCUAAAAUGUCAAAACUUCACUGUAGAAGCAAUGAGUGAGGAGCUAGGGCCGACAGUGACACGACAAGUGACAUGGAGAAAGUCAUGCUACAGAUAGAUUCAUUAGGUCUGAAAACAGUGCUUGCAAAAUAGCACUUGAGUUUAAGACCCCUAGUUUCUCUCUCUCUCUCUGUGUGUGUGUGUGUGUGUGUGUGUGUGUGUGUGUGUGUCUCUCUCUCUCUCUCUCUCUCUCUCCUGAUCAUUUUCUAAGACCAGCCCAAAUAUCUCCUCAUUUGUCUUUGAAGACUGAUCUAGCCCUGUCAUGAAAAAUUAACUGAUUAAUUGAUCAUUUUUCUUCAUAUCCACAGUCCUUUUACAUAUUAUCCUAAAUUUGUGUGUGUUUGUCUGUGUGUGUGUGUGCAUAUGAAUGUUUGUCCUUUAAAGAAAAAAGAGUUUUCAAACAUCAAAGUCUUGCUUUCUACAAUUUUGAAUUUUCCAUUACAGCUCAGAGCUACACACAGCUUUGUUUGUUGAAAAAACAGUUUGGAUGAAGAAAGACAGAGACUCCAUUUGAAGAUUAUUGCAACAGUCUAUCAAUAGAGUGACAUUUGGAAUGGAAAAGCCCAACAAAAUAUACUGAUUAAUAUUUAUAUAUUUAUGUAUGAAUACCUCUUUUACUUUCAGUAAAUUCUGAAGAGGUUUUUUAAUUUAUUUUUUUUCUUUUUUUGUCAUUGAAACAAUUUUUAAUAGUACAAAUGCAUGGCAUUGAGGUUUGGAACCUAAUACAGGUCUGACAGUCAAGUCCUUUUUUUCUGGAAGAAGGCUUCAAGUCCCAAUCAAUUGCCAGUAACAACGUUUUUAUGAAUCAAUGUAAUAAUAAGAGGUUUUAAUUUCCUUCAUAUUUUUGUUUUCAGCAUUGUAGUCUUAAAGAGUAGAUUAUAAUUUAGUUCAAUUCCCCAGAAGGCAAAUGGUUUUUCUUUUGCAGUAUGAAAGAAUCCACAAAAACACCUUGAAGAUGUUUAUUUUAUAUUUUGAUACACUACCCUUUGCAUUCCAAAGUUAACACUACAAAUGAAGCCAAAUAUGUCACACUUACCUAAGUCCAAACAUCCAUGCUUAGUCCAACAUUAACUGAAAAAUCCUGUGGAGGUGAAAUGCACUCCAGUGAAUAGAAACCACUUCUCACAGCAUGUCUUAUGCACAUGCACUGUAGGAUGGGGUCAGUGGGGAAGUUCAGAUAGGGAAGUCCCAAAUCCUAAAACCCAUUUUAAUAUCCACAAGGUGAAUUAACCAUAACCAUUUUCCUGCCUGAAAUUCCCAGUUGCCAUGAAUUGCUCACUAAUGAUAUUUCUCCAGGGUCUUCUGGAUUUUGCAGUUCUCUGCUUCAUUAGGGCCAGGAACUUGUUUGAGCCCAGAGAGAGCCUGUGUGGUGACAUUCAAGAGGAGAAGAUAAGCCUGGGCCCUUGGAAAGGAUGCUGGAGGAAGACAAGAACCAUAUUGAAUUUAGGGCCCAAGUAAAUCGAACACGACCUCAUCUUAACUUGAUGACUUCUGCAAAGACCCUAUUUCCAAAUAAGAUCACGUUUACAAGUUGCUGGUGGACAUGAAUUUGGGGAGAUGCGAUUCAACCCAGGGCAGUGGGUGUUCGAAGGAAGAACUGAAGAACAUGGAGUGAAUGUUUUUAUCCAAUGAAGCUGAGAGCCAGCCUCAUAAAAGGCUGGCACAUAACGGGCUGUAGAUCUGAAUUUGUGUGGUUAUGUGAGAAGGAAAAAGAAAAGUAAGAACUGAAUGCUUAUUCUCAACCACUGUCCUCAAAUUUAUUUCUAGGCUAUUUGUGUACAAGUGAAUUUUUGUCCUAUCUCAUUCAAAUGGACCUGAAGUCACAAAAGGUAGAAGGAUUUUAAUAUUCCUCAAGGAAAUCAACAUUCAUGAAGUACAUACUGGGUGCCUGGCACAGUUCUAGAUGCCGUGCACAAGUUACCUCAUUAAACUUCCUUAUCACAAGUAGCUGGUAUUUUCCCAAUAAUACAGGUAAGGAAACUAAGCCUGAGAAAAUGACUUCCUUUUUCCAUGGUUAGUUGUACACAUAUUUAACUAUUCUUCAUAUUCAAAUAGAAGUACAUAUAAAGCACUAAUGAGAUUUAUUCAUACCGUUUAAUGCAAAGCAUUAUCUAGAGUCACACUUUCUGUGGGUGAUGGUUCCUGUUAUUGUGAUUUAGUUCACACAUUAGUUAGGGCAGAAAUUCUCUUCCACUUCUUCAUGACCUCCAUGAAAUCUCAGUACACAAAGAGUACACAGACAGCAUCAAUGGUGAAAUAGCCCAUUGGCUUUUAUCAAUCCUCAAAUCAGAAUUCACACUUUAAUUCCAAGGAAACUGGAGAAAACCAUUGGAAAUUAUAAAGUCCAAUUCUAGCCUGAAAUCUGCCACAUAACAAUCAUGCCAUUUGGGAAACUCAAUUCUCUAGACCCCUCAUCUGUUAAACGAGGGUGCAGUGCUGAUGUCUCUCUAAAGACCCCUUCACUUGAUUGUUUUAUGAUAGUAAGCAGUUUCAAACCGCAUUAUCUUUUUUAAAGCUCCUAUGCAAAAAGCCAUAAUUGGCAAGAAAUACAUUUUAAUUCACUUUAAAUUCAAAUUCUUAUUUGACCACAACCUGAUUUCUUUCAGACCUGUGUUAAUUUGUGGGAAACUGUGGCACCGUAUUGAGAAUAGAUGAGAUACUAUAUUGCCCAAUGCCCUCUACCAAUUGCACACUUCUUUGCUGUCGAUGCUUCUGUUUCUCAAAUACUGUCUUUCUCGAUGUUAAAAAAUGUGAGCCUGUGUAUACCUGAGAAGAAGGUGCUUGCUGAAGUGUACUGUCUGCUCCUUGUGGGUAACGUUAUUCCCUCGGGCUGGCUGGGAGACCUCCUCCCCAUGGAGGAAAACCUUGGACCCACGUGUUUGGCAGAUGAUUAAAGCAAGCUCUGUUUAGAGGUUUUUCUUUUGACUCAGUAAAAUCAGAGAAAAGAGAAAGAACACACUAGUGACUUUCCUGUCUACAAGGACUUUUCAACUUUAAGAAUGUGGACAUGACGACUCCUGAAAACGAGCACUUUGGAUUCAUAUUGGUGAGCUGGCCAAUAAAUAGCGUGGCUGGAGGAUCUGCCUUUAACAAGGCUGCAUUUUAUUUGCAGUUCUUGGAUAGAUCUGCUUCUUAGAAGUAGGAUAAGAUUUUUACAAGGUCUGGGUUGCAAAGAGUAAGUUUUACCUUGCCUUCAGCAUCAUUUGGCUACCUAGAAAUUCCAGCAGAAAUUUACCAGAUUUAAAACGCAUGGAUGUAAAUAGUUCAAAUAGACUGACUUCCCAUCCACAAUUUUUGAAAAUAUCCCGUUAAUUUUUUUAAAAGGUAAAUUUAUGACUUUAUACAUUAGGUAACAAUUAUGUUAGUUUCGCAGACAGGUAUUUGGGGAAAUGUAUUGACCAAUUACUUUUAAAGUGUGUUUUUGUUUAGAAAUUAAAUUAUUUAAAAGAAGCCAGCCUGGGCCACAUAAUGAGACCCAAUCUCUACCUAAAAAAAAAUAAAAAAAUAAAAAAAUAAAAAUAAAAACAGGCAAGGUGGCAUGUGCCUGUAGUCCUAGCUACUAGGGAGGCUGAACUGGGAGUUGGGUGGAUCGUCUGAGCCCAGGAAUCCAAAGCUGCAGUGAGCUAUGAUCCCACCACUGCAGUCCAUGCUAGGUGACAGAGUGAGACCCUGUCUGUAAAUAAACAAAUACAUAUUUAAAAGACAGAAAUCAGCUUAUCUGUUUUGAGCCAGGUUUCUCAGGUGUCGGGAUGUGCUUGUCUCACGCACACACACACACACAUGCACACACAGAUCCAACAAUUAUAAGCAUUCAGGUUGGAAUAUUUGGAUUCAUACUGUGGUACACAAAGGCCCAUCUUUCAUGACCAGAGUGAGUCAGUUACAGAAACUGAUAACUUAAAAAACCCUGGUGUCUCAGAAGACACCAUGAACACCAUGAACAAUUAUGUAAGAGUAAGUUUUUAAUGUAAAAUCUGUAAGUAACAAUAAUAUGGUCAACUCUCUACAGACGAAUAACCAGUUAUAGGAAUUAAGGUAAUUUUUAAAACUAAAGAAAAUAGGGUGGCCACAAACUCCUUCUUGAAGAGAAGAAGAAUAUAGAGAGCAGGCCAGGAGCUAGGUAGUAAGGAAAGUGUUGGGAGGGUGGUCAGUUGGUGAAUUAUUAGUGUGCACUGGUUAGUAUUGUUAGACAUUGUCUGAGUGCCUACCCAGCCUCCUUGACACUGUCCCCUUGGCCAUCUGUCUUAAGAAGCUGGAUUUUCCAUUUUUCCUUGAAUUCUAAGGAAGGCUCUUGUAUCCUUCCAAAAAAAGUAUUUAAAAAAUAACUCACUGAAGCUGGUUUUCAAUACCUGCAAUGAAAAGAAAUCCACUCAUCCUGAAUGAGGUGCAGGAAGGGUUAGGGCUGCUAUAGUACUGUCUAGUGCCUCCUGAGUGGGAGCACCCCUCAGCCACUGUGACAGGCAGCUUACUCAUCGUGUUGGCCCUUGCCUUCCAGUAGGAGAAAGUCACUCUGUGGAAAGCUGAUUACUCCCAGAGAGGAUUUGUCAGUUGUGACACCUGUUUCCUGAAAAAUAAGCUUUUUCCUCAGUCAACACAGUCAGAGGGAAGAUAAGCGUUCCUCUUUCCUAAGCAUCUGCACUAGUGCAAACUUAAUGCCACCAAAUGUAAAAGGUCUUCUUCACUCAGUGCACUAAGUUCUCAUUUCGGUAACCACAUUAUACACAUAAUGGGCAGUUAAAAUCAGUGCCACUUGGAACUCAUUUGGAAUUUAUGGCUUCCCCCAACUCCUGUUUUCUGGAUUCAGAUUCAAUUUAUGGCUUGGAACGUAGUGUUUCCUACAGGAAAAACUUUGAAAUGUGCAAGAGAAAAAAGGGCUCUUGGAGAAUAUUAAAUAUCUCUUACAAAACACCAUGCUGAUGAGUAAAUGAGAGUGUAAAUGAAUCCAGAUAAAAAGUAUUGUGUUUCCAUUGAAAUACUCAGGGGCUUAAGAGUUAAGGGAAAAAGUUUUGUGGGGAAAUGUGUUUUAGGUUAUGCCAAAUGUAAAACGUGUGCAAAAGGGUUUGAGAUGUUUUUCCUAGAUUAAGAUGUCGCCAGAUUACCUCUUCUCAAUAAUUAGAAAAUUAGACAAGUACAAUUUAUGUGUAAAUUCAAUGCAAUUCAUGAGCAUGAAUAAUGAUCUCAAACUACCAUUAAGUACAGAAUCAUUGCAGAAUUGCCCUGGAGUAAAUUCCGGACUCAAAAGAGGUUGUGAAUUAGGCCAUGAAGAAAGAGAUGCAGGCGUUGACUUGCGGAUUUUGAUUUAGUUUUUAAUGUGGCUGUUAAAUUAUUUUGAAUUUAGUCAUUUUAAGAAUGUGGAUGGGAGAAUAAAACUAAAUAAUGAUUUUAAGUGGGCAUCCAGGACAAAUUUUUAUCCUUUAUAACUCUAGAAGGGGACAAAAGCAAUUGGAUUUUGUUAUAGUGCAAAACAAUUUGGAUGAUGUUGAGUCACAUGUGUGGAUCUACAACUGAUUGUGCCUCAUCUGUUGACACUAUCCAAUACAAUAAAUUCUUUGGUGUCUUGUUUUC
This is a non-coding RNA of Macaca mulatta (Rhesus monkey), 8542 nucleotides long. The record is from RefSeq and is a predicted model, not a curated record. NCBI's taxonomy places the organism in Eukaryota, Metazoa, Chordata, Mammalia, Primates, Cercopithecidae.